GAGAAAUUCGCCCUCACGGGUGACUCUCCAACCCUAUGUUAUUGUACCUUCGUUGCUUUGGCGAGCCGCCUCGUGCCACCGACUUUCGCCGGUGAGUGCUCGCCAGAGGACCUAAAACUCUUGAAUUUAAUAUUGUCUGAGUACUAUAUAAUAGUUAAAACUUUCAACAACGGAUCUCUUGGUUCU
RNAcentral lists this unclassified non-coding RNA (186 nucleotides) under rhizosphere metagenome. RNAcentral describes it as "partial ribosomal RNA internal transcribed spacer region". The record is from RNAcentral.